UUAAGUUAGCCUCGCGAUUUCUUUCCAAAUUUCUCUUUCUACCUACCUCCGUCGUUAGAGAGAGAGAGAGAGAGAGAGAGAGAGAGAGAGAGAGAGAGGUGUGUGUGGUGGUUUUGCUGAAGAUGAUGCGAUUAUGUGAGGAUGAUGAUUCUCUCACUGCGCGGUCUCUAAUUCGCUUGGUGCAGGUCGGGAACCGCUGCUGCUACGGUUUUCGCCCGUAAUGGAGGAGCGGUCGCCGGCGGCGAAUUGGAUCCCGCCUUGCAUCAACUGAAUCGGAGGCCGCGGUGAAACUUUGCGUGGUUUUCCGGCUGCUCUCACUCAGAUCUCGUAUGAGUUUCUACGACAAGUAAUAGUGUUGCUGGUUUCACUCGAAGUUCAUCAUUUGGUCAUUGGGUUCUUGAUUUCGGUGCCUCUAAUCAUAUUUCUGGACCGAAAUUCGGGGAGGACAAUUGGCGGUGGAUUUGACUCCAAUGGCCUUUACCUGCUCUCCAACUCCUCUUAUGCUCAUUAGAUUCUCCACUCACUAUUCACGCUCAGCUGGCUCAUCCUAGUCUUACAAAGCUCCAGAAGAUGGUGUCACAUCUGUCCAAGUUGUCUUCUUUGCAGUGGGAAUCAUGUCAAUUGAUAGAGUCAAUCGUCGUGCCUCCUCUCCUUUUAGUUUGGUUUAUUUUGUGUUUGGUGACCCAGUUGUAUUGAAUCAACUCGGGGGUAUAGAAAUUUUGUUACCUUUAUUGACGAUUAUUCUCGGGACACCUGGUUAUUUUUACUGAAAAAUUGCUCUGAGUUGUUCUCUAUAUUUCAGAAGUUUUAUCAGAAAAUUCUUACUCAAUUUGGUAUUUCUAUUCGCACUUUUUGUAGUGAUAAUGCUCGUGAGUAUCUGUCUCAAACCCCAACAAAAUGAGGUUGCUGAAAAAAAAACCGUCAUCUUAUUGAAAUAGCUAGGACACUCUUACUUCAUGGGAAUAUUCAUACCAGUUUUUGGGGCGAUGCUGUUCUCACCGCAUGCUAUCUCAUUAAUCGCAUACCCUCAUCUCUCCUUGAUAACCAGGUGUGCUGAUGUGGCUUCUCUUUCUCCCUUUUGCUUUCCUCAAGGGGGGUGUUUGGUAUGAUGGAAAAAAAUAUUUUGCCAGGAAAGUGGGGUGGG
This is a long non-coding RNA of Gastrolobium bilobum, 1144 nucleotides long. RefSeq lists it as uncharacterized. The transcript is spliced from 4 exons. The record is from RefSeq and is a predicted model, not a curated record. Lineage: Eukaryota; Viridiplantae; Streptophyta; Magnoliopsida; Fabales; Fabaceae.